Loxodonta africana (African savanna elephant) is the source of this 64-nucleotide regulatory RNA element. It matches the Rfam family "Edr gene ribosomal frameshift signal". The record is from Rfam. NCBI's taxonomy places the organism in Eukaryota, Metazoa, Chordata, Mammalia, Proboscidea, Elephantidae.
GGGAACGCCCGGCCCCGCUGUAGAGGGACCAUCAGCGACCGGGCCAGAAAGAAUAAGGUCCCAC